GCGGCUCAAUGACUUUGUAUCACUGUGGUGGACUUUUGGUGGAGGAACCAGACUGGAAUUUGGAAGUGAUGUCCGUCCCACCCUGACGGUGCUGCCCCCCUCCAGCGAGGAGCUGCAGCAGGGGAAGGCCACGCUCAUGUGCCUGGCCAACAAGGGCUUCCCCUCAGACUGGAGUCUGGCCUGGAAGGUGGACGGCAGCGGCAGCAUCAGCUGGGAGGAGAGCAGGAGCCCCGGGGUGCUGGAGAAGGACGGCCACUACAGCUGGAGCAGCACCCUGAGGCUCCCUGCAGACCAGUGGAGGAAGGUGGGCUCUGUGACCUGUGAAGCCACCCAGGGCUCCCAGACUCCGCUCUCAGAGACACUGAGGAGAGACCAGUGUUCCCAGUCCUGACCUGAUUCACUUGGACUCUGCUACUGGUUUCACUCUGCUACUGCUCUCUGUCUUCUCUCUCUCUCUCUCUGGUUCUCUCUUUCUCUUUCGACAUUAACGUCUUCUUGGUUGUGUUGAUGUUUUCAACAUUUUAAAACAAUAAAGAUUUUAUCAUGUGUAUUAUAAAAGUGA
Sebastes umbrosus (honeycomb rockfish) is the source of this 562-nucleotide non-coding RNA. NCBI's taxonomy places the organism in Eukaryota, Metazoa, Chordata, Actinopteri, Perciformes, Sebastidae. The record is from the annotation of a RefSeq genome assembly.